CCUCCUCAUCGCCUGCCUGCUGCUGCGCGUCUUCAGGUCGGGAAAGAGGUUAAAGAAGACACGCAAGUAUGAUAUCAUCACCACUCCAGCAGAGCGAGUGGAAAUGGCGCCACUAAAUGAAGAGGAUGAUGAAGAUGAGGACUCCACAGUAUUUGACAUUAAAUACAGGUACAGGGUGGAGACAGAGGCUUCCUCCUGGGCUUGGGGCAGUGGGUUGGUGG
Molecule: small RNA, 221 nt
Filed under: Pan troglodytes (chimpanzee)
Lineage: Eukaryota; Metazoa; Chordata; Mammalia; Primates; Hominidae
Description: retained intron
Source: RNAcentral